UCCCUGGUGGCUCAGAUGGUAAAGCGUCCGACUACAAUGCGGCAGACCCAGGUUCAAUCCUUGGGUUGGGAA
Bos taurus (domestic cattle) is the source of this 72-nucleotide non-coding RNA. NCBI's taxonomy places the organism in Eukaryota, Metazoa, Chordata, Mammalia, Artiodactyla, Bovidae. The record is from Rfam.